Molecule: ribosomal RNA, 1147 nt
Filed under: uncultured bacterium
Lineage: Bacteria
Description: bacterial SSU rRNA
Rfam family: Bacterial small subunit ribosomal RNA
Source: RNAcentral
AGAGUUUGAUCAUGGCUCAGGAUGAACGCUGGCGGCGUGCCUAACACAUGCAAGUCGAGCGUGAACUCUCGGAACGAAACUUCGGUCUAGGGAAGAGGGGGAAAGCGGCGGACGGGUGAGUAACGCGUAGGUAACCUGCCCCAUACAUAGGGAUAGCCUAGGGAAACCUGGAUUAAUACCUAAUAAUGCGAAGAGAUCACAUGGUCUUUUCGCCAAAGAUUCAUCGGUAUGGGAUGGACCUGCGUCUGAUUAGCUAGUUGGUGGGGUAACGGCCUACCAAGGCAACGAUCAGUAGCCGACCUGAGAGGGUAAUCGGCCACAUUGGAACUGAGACACGGUCCAAACUCCUACGGGAGGCAGCAGUGGGGAAUAUUGCACAAUGGGCGCAAGCCUGAUGCAGCAACGCCGCGUGAGUGAAGAAGGUCUUCGGAUCGUAAAACUCUGUCCUUAGGGAAGAAACAAAUGACGGUACCUAAGGAGGAAGCCCCGGCUAACUACGUGCCAGCAGCCGCGGUAAUACGUAGGGGGCAAGCGUUAUCCGGAAUUAUUGGGCGUAAAGAGUACGUAGGUGGUUUUGUAAGCGUGGGGUGAAAGACCGAAGCUUAACUUCGGUUAGCCUUGCGAACUGCAAGACUUGAGUGCAGGAGAGGAAAGUGGAAUUCCUAGUGUAGCGGUGAAAUGCGUAGAUAUUAGGAGGAACAUCAGUGGCGAAGGCGACUUUCUGGACUGUAACUGACACUGAGGUACGAAAGCGUGGGGAGCAAACAGGAUUAGAUACCCUGGUAGUCCACGCCGUAAACGAUGAGCACUAGGUGUCGGGGUCGCAAGGCUUCGGUGCCGCAGUUAACGCAUUAAGUGCUCCGCCUGGGGAGUACGCACGCAAGUGUGAAACUCAAAGGAAUUGACGGGGACCCGCACAAGCAGCGGAGCAUGUGGUUUAAUUCGAAGCAACGCGAAGAACCUUACCAGGGCUUGACAUCCCUCUGACCGGCCGGUAACGCGGCCUUCCCUUCGGGGCAGAGGUGACAGGUGGUGCAUGGUUGUCGUCAGCUCGUGUCGUGAGAUGUUGGGUUAAGUCCCGCAACGAGCGCAACCCUUGUCAUUAGUUGCCAUCAUUUAGUUGGGCACUCUAGUGAGACUGCCGGGG